RNAcentral lists this small RNA (966 nucleotides) under Arabidopsis thaliana (thale cress). RNAcentral describes it as "ATSL079920". Lineage: Eukaryota; Viridiplantae; Streptophyta; Magnoliopsida; Brassicales; Brassicaceae. The record is from RNAcentral.
UUUAGUAUUCUUAUUCACAACUAUUCUGACUUAUUAAUAUAUAUAUAUAUAUAUAUAUAUAUAUAUAUAUAUCAAUAUAUCAUGUUAUAAAAAAGUAAAUAAAAAAUAAUUAGUGAGCGAAUUAAAAUCGGAAAGAUAUUAAAAUACAAGACAUGAACAAAUUAACCCAAAUAAAUUUGUAGAAAACCAUUACCGGUUUACCACGCAACAAACCUAAGAUUGGUCAUAUACCAACUAAAUAAAGUGAAAAACGUUAUUUUCUGUAUGCACGACCCUACACUUGUCUUAAAUUUAAGAAGGUUUUGUUUAGGACUAAUACAAUCUCCACUUUAUUGAGUUUACCAAAAAUGAAGGCCACUGAGAACACAAGAGGAGAUGACAACAUCAAGAUGUGCUAGAGGUAAAGCCAGCGCCUCGAGCAGGACAAUUCAGAUGGCUAACACCAACACCAAUUACUUCCUGAGCUUUAUGUACGGAAAUGAAUCAGUAUUUGAGGAUCGUGUAUUCGCUUCUCGUUAAUCCGACUUUAAGUUAUUGGUUUCCAAGCUAUAUGGUUCAAAAUUAUGGAAGGUUACAGUUUUCAGUUUGAGUCAACUCUUAACAAUUUAGGAGAGAAUUUGAAGGCCCUGUUCUUUUUCCAGACGCUGCGAUCAAAUCCAGCGACCAAAAAAACAGUUGUUUAACACACAAUUACGUUGAAGUCUAUAGAAAGUUAUGUGGAGAGGAAUCACUCGAUUCUAAAAACAGCGACCUAUAAGGCAUAUACACGUGUUGCCAAAAAUAACAGCGACUCAACAUCUUCACUAGAGACGUCGCCGGCGUCCAUAUUGAGCGACUGUUUUUGUAUCUCUGUUAAAAAAUUUGUCUUCGUCGGAGUCGUUGUCGCUGUCGCAGCGAUUAAUAAACGAACAUGCCCGAAGUUACAGAGAACAACACCACACACUAUUUGUAAAAUUAUGAAGCAAA